UGGCCUGUUCUAUAGCCAUGUAACCCCAGCC
This 31-nucleotide non-coding RNA is filed under the name Homo sapiens (human). Lineage: Eukaryota; Metazoa; Chordata; Mammalia; Primates; Hominidae. The record is from RNAcentral.